UACAGAGGGUGCGAGCGUUGUCCGGAAUCACUGGGCGUAAAGGGCGCGUAGGCGGUCUCUUAAGCGUGUGGUGAAAGCCCGGGGCUCAACUCCGGGUCGGCCGUGCGAACUGGGGGACUGGAGCUUGUCAGAGGCAGGCGGAAUUCCGGGUGUAGCGGUGGAAUGCGUAGAGAUCCGGAGGAACACCAAAGGCGAAGGCAGUGUCCUGGGGAGUACCUGACGCUCAGGUGCGAAAGCCAGGGGAGCGAACGGG
Molecule: ribosomal RNA, 253 nt
Filed under: uncultured bacterium
Lineage: Bacteria
Description: partial 16S ribosomal RNA
Rfam family: Bacterial small subunit ribosomal RNA
Source: RNAcentral